This 245-nucleotide unclassified non-coding RNA is filed under the name Dothideomycetes sp. RNAcentral's name for it is "partial contains 5.8S ribosomal RNA, internal transcribed spacer 2, and large subunit ribosomal RNA". The stretch from base 1 to 52 matches the Rfam family "5.8S ribosomal RNA", at positions 103 to 154 of the family's 154-position model. The record is from RNAcentral. Lineage: Eukaryota; Fungi; Ascomycota; Dothideomycetes.
AACGCACAUUGCGCCCCUCGGUAUUCCGGGGGGCAUGCCUGUUCGAGCGUCAUUGCACCCCUCAAGCGUAGCUUGGUAUUGGGCCUUCGUCCCCCCGGACGUGCCCGAAGACGAGUGGCGGUCCCGACGUGGUCUCAAGCGUAGUAAAUCUUCGCCGCUUUGGAGGUCUGCGCCGGGGUUAGCCAAAACCCCCCUAUUUUUCAAUGAUUGACCUCGGAUCAGGUAGGGAUACCCGCUGAACUUAA